GGCCGAGGCUCCCCCUUGCCAAUGUGGUGAGGUGGAGGGGUGUACUUUCCUUCCUUUAUCAGCUUAUCCCGCUGCUUCCUGAUGGUACCUGCACGUCUCAUCGUUUUCUGCCGAAGCAAACACUCUACGAAAUCAUCAUAUUCUAUCUUGCACUCUUUCUCUGCCCGAGUAUAACCGAUUCCAUGUGCACAUUCUAUCCAUUCUUUUUCAAAAGCAUGGCAUCGACCAGCCAUCUUGUAGGGCUGUUCACCACUCUGGAUUGUCAACCAUCGAUCUAUGUUAAGGCCGAACCUUUUCUGGAUGUCCAAGAAAGGCAUGGCCGAUGCUCGUGCCCUUGACUCUUCUCUGGCCGCCGCUUCAGAACGACUAGCUAGCGACGCGGACGCCUGCCGUAAAGGAUGACCUCAGCGAGACGUUUGCAGCGC
This 425-nucleotide long non-coding RNA is filed under the name Homo sapiens (human). RNAcentral describes it as "LNC_000298". Lineage: Eukaryota; Metazoa; Chordata; Mammalia; Primates; Hominidae. The record is from RNAcentral.